GACAGAGGUUGCAAGCGUUGUUCGGAAUUACUGGGCAUAAAGCGCACGUAGGCGGUCCGCUAAGUCAUGUGUGAAAUCCCCCGGCUCAACCGGGGAAUGGCGCCUGAUACUGGCGGACUCGAGAUCGGUAGGGGUGAGUGGAACUCCAGGUGGAGCGGUGAAAUGCGUAGAUAUCUGGAGGAACACCGGUGGCGAAAGCGACUCACUGGACCCGAUCUGACACUGAGGUGCGAAAGCUAGGGUAGCAAACAGG
RNAcentral lists this ribosomal RNA (253 nucleotides) under uncultured bacterium. Its description in RNAcentral is "partial 16S ribosomal RNA". It matches the Rfam family "Bacterial small subunit ribosomal RNA", at positions 524 to 776 of the family's 1533-position model. The record is from RNAcentral.